Molecule: long non-coding RNA, 843 nt
Organism: Hemibagrus wyckioides
Lineage: Eukaryota; Metazoa; Chordata; Actinopteri; Siluriformes; Bagridae
Exons: 2
Source: RefSeq, a predicted model, not a curated record
GAUUGUCUCUUGUCUGGGAGAGUGCGAGACCCUGAGAGAUAACAUAAUUUUCAGGCAGCAGAGAACACAGUGUCCCAAACCCUAACCUCCUAUCUCAAGUUCUCUGGCCCUGUGACGUCCACACCUUAGAUAGCACAUCAUCUGCUCAGGGAAUGAACCUUCAGCAUGCGCAGGAGUUGGCGCCAGCAUCAGCCGAUGCACUAUGGCAUCGCCAUGCCUGCAACAGACGUUGUUUACAGCGAGUUGUUUUGAGUGGAGUGUGUAUCCGACUCUAGUGAGUGCAGGUGCUUGUGGAGUCCCAGAAGGAGGAGGAGGUGGAGGAAGAGGAGGAGGAGGAAGAGGAGGAGAGCCAGUGAAUAAAAGUUACUCUGUCUUCCUUAAACAUCUUCAAGGUCUCUGGGAAGGAAUAAAUUCCCAAGGGAGAAAGUUUCCUGGGAGAAAAUCGGCCUGGCGCUGGACUGGGGUGACAUCUGCUAAGUUGACGCCUGGUUUCCCUGCUCGUUGUUCCUUUUUCCUAUGCAUAUACCUCUUUGAGACGUAGCAUUAAAGAGGCAUAGGGCAUGGGAAAAUGGGGCUGCAGAGGUAUUCCACUGGGUUUUUCUCUGAAACCUCAUCUACAGAGAAAGGGUUACGCAAACAUGCUUUCUUAAAUGCUUUCAUGAUCUGUCACUCUCUUCAAAGUAGUAGCUAACUCUUAGCAGCAUGAUUGUUUUUAUUUGCUACAUGGGAUGCUGUGAAGAAACAGUGAUGGUGUGAUCUUGUGAAGUGCAGAGUGAGAAUUGAAACUCAGUAAGCAAUGUGCCGCCUGCCUGUAAUUUAAUAAAGAAAGUGAAUUGAAAAGCA